UCCUGUGGAGCAAGGGAGACAGGCUCUAGUCAGUUCCAGAAGAACUGCCCAAGCAACUCAGGCCUCCUGAGAUCACACUUUGGUCUCUUCCUCACCUAAAGACUCCUGGCGUCAUCUCCCGACGUGCACUCGGUUCAGAAGGUCCGGCUGGCCACUCUACAGCCUGCACUGGCUUCAUUCUCUGCAAUCUGAUUCAUCUUCUAAACUUCUGAGAUUGCAGCUGUGGCUGCGGUCAUGGCUGCAUCCAACAACCACAGGGAGGAAGUGUCUGGGUCCAGCCUCAUGAAUGGGUUAAUGCCUCUCCUGGGAACAGGCUAGCCCUGAAGUUCCCAACUCCUGCGAUGUUAGGAAGCAGCAUGUACCCCUCACUGGGUACAGCCAUCAGAUCCUGGUCCUGUUCUAGUCUCUGCAACUGUGAACCCAGCCUUACUUUGCAGAACCAUAGAACCAUGCAGACUUGGGUAUCACAACCCGAGGAAUCUUCUGAAAGAUGGACAGGCCCUCGGCACAGAUGGGGAUAUGGAGGCCACACAGUGAGGAGAUGGGCUUAGCUUCAUGCACAGAACAACUGGGCUGGAUGGAACAAGAACUUCUGGCUACUGGCUCCCAUUCCAGAUGACUCCCAGUCCCAAACAAUCAAAGCUCAUGAGGGCCCAAACAGGUGCCUGGGACAACAGAAAAUGAACUGGUCACAAGACCUCCGGUCAGGAACCAUGCCUGGAGCAUCCAGCAACUGCCUCAAAGGUGCCCAGUAUGGAAGCUGCCCUCCCAGAGGUGACCUCUCCGCACCCAAUCAGGACCAGAUGGUGGCAGCCAAUGUAAGCAGCAGCAGAGGCGAGUGGUGGCACUGAGCAAACCCACGACACACGAUGU
Molecule: long non-coding RNA, 873 nt
Organism: Alexandromys fortis (reed vole)
Lineage: Eukaryota; Metazoa; Chordata; Mammalia; Rodentia; Cricetidae
Exons: 4
Source: RefSeq, a predicted model, not a curated record